Molecule: unclassified non-coding RNA, 343 nt
Filed under: soil metagenome
Description: partial contains 5.8S ribosomal RNA, internal transcribed spacer 2, and large subunit ribosomal RNA
Rfam family: 5.8S ribosomal RNA (bases 1-120)
Source: RNAcentral
GAUGAAGAACGUAGUGAAAUGCGAUAAGUAAUGUGAAUUGCAGAAUUCAGUGAAUCAUCGAAUCUUUGAACGCACAUUGCGCCCGCCAGUAUUCUGGCGGGCAUGCCUGUUCGAGCGUCAUUUCCACCAUCAGGCCCCCGGGCCUGUGUUGGGGACCUGCGGCUGCCCGCAGGCCCCGAAAUUCAGUGGCGGUCGCGCCGUAGCAACCGAGCGUAGUAACUAAAACGUCUCGCUCUGGCUCGCUGGGCGCGCUCCGGCCGUAAAACACCCCCCCUUUUCGCAAAGGUUGACCUCGGAUCAGGUAGGAAUACCCGCUGAACUUAAGCAUACAAUAAGCGGAGGA